GACGAACGCUGGCGGCGUGCUUAACACAUGCAAGUCGAACGGAAAGGCCCUGCUUUUGUGGGGUGCUCGAGUGGCGAACGGGUGAGUAACACGUGAGUAACCUGCCCUUGACUUUGGGAUAACUUCAGGAAACUGGGGCUAAUACCGGAUAGGAGCUCCUGCUGCAUGGUGGGGGUUGGAAAGUUUCGGCGGUUGGGGAUGGACUCGCGGCUUAUCAGCUUGUUGGUGGGGUAGUGGCUUACCAAGGCUUUGACGGGUAGCCGGCCUGAGAGGGUGACCGGCCACAUUGGGACUGAGAGACGGCCCAGACUCCUACGGGAGGCAGAAGUGGGGAAUAUGGCACAAUGGGCGGAAGCCUGAUGCAGCAACGCCGCGUGCGGGAUGACGGCCUUCGGGCUGUAAACCGCUUUCGCCUGUGACGAAGCGUGAGUGACGGUAAUGGGUAAAGAAGCACCGGCUAACUACGUG
Molecule: ribosomal RNA, 468 nt
Filed under: uncultured bacterium
Lineage: Bacteria
Description: partial 16S ribosomal RNA
Rfam family: Bacterial small subunit ribosomal RNA
Source: RNAcentral